This is a non-coding RNA of Potamilus streckersoni, 68 nucleotides long. The record is from the annotation of a GenBank genome assembly. Lineage: Eukaryota; Metazoa; Mollusca; Bivalvia; Unionida; Unionidae.
GGUGGCCUAGUGGCUAGAGCGUCCGCCUCGGAUGCGGGAGGCCAUGGGUUUUAUCCCUGGUAGAGUCA